GACGAACGCUGGCGGCGUGCCUAAUACAUGCAAGUAGAACGCUGAAGGAGGAGCUUGCUCUUCUGGAUGAGUUGCGAACGGGUGAGUAACGCAUAGGUAACCUGCCUGGUAGCGGGGGAUAACUAUUGGAAACGAUAGCUAAUACCGCAUAAGAGUAGAUGUUGCAUGACAUUUGCUUAAAAGGUGCAAUUGCAUCACUACCAGAUGGACCUGCGUUGUAUUAGCUAGUUGGUGGGGUAACGGCUCACCAAGGCGACGAUACAUAGCCGACCUGAGAGGGUGAUCGGCCACACUGGGACUGAGACACGGCCCAGACUCCUACGGGAGGCAGCAGUAGGGAAUCUUCGGCAAUGGACGGAAGUCUGACCGAGCAACGCCGCGUGAGUGAAGAAGGUUUUCGGAUCGUAAAGCUCUGUUGUAAGAGAAGAACGAGUGCGAGAGUGGAAAGUUCACACUGUGACGGUAUCUUACCAGAAAGGGACGGCUAACUACGUG
RNAcentral lists this ribosomal RNA (495 nucleotides) under uncultured bacterium. RNAcentral's name for it is "partial 16S ribosomal RNA". It matches the Rfam family "Bacterial small subunit ribosomal RNA", at positions 28 to 507 of the family's 1533-position model. The record is from RNAcentral.